This 706-nucleotide ribosomal RNA is filed under the name uncultured Lachnospiraceae bacterium. RNAcentral's name for it is "bacterial SSU rRNA". It matches the Rfam family "Bacterial small subunit ribosomal RNA", at positions 35 to 754 of the family's 1533-position model. Lineage: Bacteria; Bacillati; Bacillota; Clostridia; Lachnospirales; Lachnospiraceae. The record is from RNAcentral.
GCUGGCGGCGCGCCUAACACAUGCAAGUCGAACGAGCGAGAGAGAGUUUACUUUUUCGAGCGAGUGGCGAACGGGUGAGUAACGCGUGAGGAACCUGCCUCAAAGAGGGGGACAACAGUUGGAAACGACUGCCAAUACCGCAUAAGCCCACGGCUCGGCAUCGAGCAGAGGGAAAAGGAGCAAUCCGCUUUGAGAUGGCCUCGCGUCCGAUUAGCUAGUUGGUGAGGUAACGGCCCACCAAGGCGACGAUCGGUAGCCGGACUGAGAGGUUGUACGGCCACAUUGGGACUGAGACACGGCCCAGACUCCUACGGGAGGCAGCAGUGGGGAAUAUUGCACAAUGGGGGAAACCCUGAUGCAGCGACGCCGCGUGGAGGAAGAAGGUCUUCGGAUUGUAAACUCCUGUUGUUGAGGAAGAUAAUGACGGUACUCAACAAGGAAGUGACGGCUAACUACGUGCCAGCAGCCGCGGUAAAACGUAGGUCACAAGCGUUGUCCGGAAUUACUGGGUGUAAAGGGAGCGCAGGCGGGAAGACAAGUUGGAAGUGAAAUCCAUGGGCUCAACCCAUGAACUGCUUUCAAAACUGUUUUUCUUGAGUAGUGCAGAGGUAGGCGGAAUUCCCGGUGUAGCGGUGGAAUGCGUAGAUAUCGGGAGGAACACCAGUGGCGAAGGCGGCCUACUGGGCACCAACUGACGCUGAGGCUC